AGAGUUUGAUCAUGGCUCAGAUUGAACGCUGGCGGCAGGCUUAACACAUGCAAGUCGAGCGGUAACAGAAAUAGCUUGCUAUUUGCUGACGAGCGGCGGACGGGUGAGUAAUGCUUGGGAAUAUGCCUUAUGGUGGGGGACAACAGUUGGACACGACUGCUAAUACCGCAUAACGUCUACGGACCAAAGGGGGGGAUCUUCGGACCUCUCGCCAUUUGAUUAGCCCAAGUGAGAUUAGCUAGUUGGUAAGGUAAUGGCUUACCAAGGCGACGAUCUCUAGCUGGUUUGAGAGGAUGAUCAGCCACACUGGGACUGAGACACGGCCCAGACUCCUACGGGAGGCAGCAGUGGGGAAUAUUGCACAAUGGGGGGAACCCUGAUGCAGCCAUGCCGCGUGUGUGAAGAAGGCCUUCGGGUUGUAAAGCACUUUCAGUUGUGAGGAAAGGUGUGUAGUUAAUAGCUACAUACUGUGACGUUAGCAACAGAAGAAGCACCGGCUAACUUCGUGCCAGCAGCCGCGGUAAUACGAGGGGUGCAAGCGUUAAUCGGAAUUACUGGG
RNAcentral lists this ribosomal RNA (559 nucleotides) under uncultured Vibrionaceae bacterium. RNAcentral describes it as "bacterial SSU rRNA". It matches the Rfam family "Bacterial small subunit ribosomal RNA", at positions 8 to 558 of the family's 1533-position model. The record is from RNAcentral. Lineage: Bacteria; Pseudomonadati; Pseudomonadota; Gammaproteobacteria; Vibrionales; Vibrionaceae.